GUUUUUUCGAGAAUAAUUUAAGAGAGGUUAGAAUUGUUCGAAAUAGAAUGUGUUAGAUAAAAGCAUUUAAAGUUAAAUAAAAGAUGAAAAAGACUCCAUAAUCUAAUUAUUUCCACGAAAGUUAGUGGUGAGAGCCUAUUCACAGCCUGGCCACGCACCUCAUCCGGUGGCAACGCCAUGCAAACCACUGACUAAAAGUAAAAUCAAGAAUUUGUUUGAAAACAACAAUAGAAUAUCCAGCAUACAAACAAUGUUUCGAUAUUACUCUGACUGAUUCUUCAAUAGUUCAAAUUGAUAUGUUUAAAGAGAUAUGCAAUAUACAAUAUUAUUCCGAAAUUUUCAUUAUUCUGAAAGAUAUAUAUAUUAACGAAGAUAUCCGAAAUGUCGCAUCAUCUUUUUGUUUCUAAAGGAGACGUUCAAAAGAAUAUUUAAUUAGAAAGAUAUAAUUUUAUUAAUACGAAUCGAUCAGAGGAUGUUGUAUUCCAUUGAUUGCAAGCUAAAUAAAUACCUACGUUUUUUAUUUCAAACAAAUCCGAGAAAAAAAGAAGAUAAUAGUUACAGUUUUAUAUCCAGUAACUACUACGUACAUUUAGCAGGAGCACAACACUUAAAAAAAACUGUAAAGGACAUCAAGAGGGAUAGAAUCAGAGCGUGCAGGAAAAUGGAAAGAAUACAUUCAUAAAAAAAUGUUUAUAUGAAUAUAGUAAAGACUAUAAGCAAAUUACGAGGUGUGGAUAUUAAAUAACCGGCGAAUAAUGUGGGUAAUUUAACACACAGAUAUUGGGUUUGACUAGAAACCUCUUGAUUCAAAGUGUGGAACGAGUUGACUCAUUGUACUGAUGAUGAAAAAGUAAUAACAAAUCAACUUCAACAUCUUCUCGGCUAUCUUGAAACCGCUUAAAGUACUCAAAAACUCGUAAUCGCGACAAACGUUUUUUGUCAUACACUUAAUAAAUGAUAAGUUUCAGUUGCAGAACUAAUAUGAGUUGAUCUGACCUUUAACAACACAUAAUGCUCCAUACUUGUCAGAAGAAUACAAAUAGGACCAUAUACGUGGAAUGCAAUAAAAAAGAAUUUUUGAAAUCGGCGGAAGGCUCCUUAAGACCGGCUAAAUACCGCUUUUCAAAAAUCUCUGAAGAAAUUGAUCUUAACACUAUCAGGGUCGCUAACCAAUAGAACAAUGUAACUACAUUGUAAAAAUUCCACAUCGGUUAACAGUCAAAAGGAAAAUAUGAAUGAAGUUAGCAGCAAAAUCGGGUCACACGUCAAGACGACAAUCCAGCCAGGUGCAACUAUAGGUCAAUUUCAAAAACACCAGCUAACAAAUCACUCCUCAAAACAACCUUUCAACGAACUGAACAACCAAAAAUCAAUAUCUGCAAAAUUUACAAAAUCUGCACGAAUAACUUAAUUCGUGAACAGUUAAUUGCCACGUCUGGCAAAUUUCGAAUAAUGCUUGCGUCCUUUAGACCGAGACUUAACCUCAAAAGAAAAUAAACCAAACAUUCAAUUUGUUUAUAUAAAAAUAGUUCAACAAAAGGACAAUUUAAACUGUGCUAAAUAACUUAAAUUCCAGGAACCCAGUAUGUCACCAACAAGUACAUACAAAACUACAAAAGAGGUAUGAAAAAUAAAAUGUAAUUAUUUCUACUCAAAGAUAAUAUGACAAAAUAUCUUAUAAAGAGAAUUAUUUACAAAAACAAAUUGGUAGGUUUAUUUCAUUUAAUGUUUAUAACAACAAAAGUAACGCAAGCUGUGAGCAGUGAAAACGUUACAAUUAAUUUUAUACAAAAUUAUAUGUAUAAGUAAAAUAUGUGCUUGAUUGUAAAUUUAAACCUUAUAUGAACUAAAAUAUCAGUUAAAUCUCAUAUAUUAAAAAAAGAAUAGAAUAGAAAGCAAUAUUCACUUUUUUUUAAAUAUCUAUUACAUAGUUGAUUACAAAGAAUUGCCAAUCCUUUCAAUGAUUACCAAUGAAUCAUCUUUUUAAGUAUUCUUAUUAUUAUUGCACCCUAGUCACGGAUUAUAUUUAUAAAUGAAUCAUAAACGUAUAUUAUUAAAAAAAACUCUUGAAUUAUUAUUAUCAAUAAUAAAAAACUUUUUUCUUCACUUAUAAUCACACUGCUUUCAGUUAUAUGGUGAAUAAGUUCAAAAUUUUUGAAGUAAUCAUUGAAGUCACGAAAAUCCGUUUUUUUUGUUUCUUUCUUUUUAUGUCCGAGAUGAAUUUGGCUGUUUGUCUUUUUUGUAUCAUUUGGGGAACUCUACGUUUGUUUAAUAUUAAAUUAUUUAAAAAUUUUAAUCAAGUAGAUUCUAGUAAACAUUGAUUUGAAGAGCCCAAUUAAAAAUUGUUUACGAACAGGAAAAAUACGAUAAUACACUAUUAUCGUCUCAUUAUAAUAAUUACAUAUUUGAUUGUUUCACGGAAUACCUAAUUAGAUAAAAUAUAUCAUUUAUUAAGGAAAAAUGAUUUGUUAGUUUGGUUAUAAUCGUUUAUUUAAAGCCAAUUGAUACAUAGGCACGGUCAAAUAAAAACAAAAAUGAUCAAAUCGAAUUAUUUACCACUUUUUGGAAUAUCUGUUAUAAAUUUCGAAAAACCGAUAUCACACAUUCUUCUUUUAUAUUUAUAUUGUAUGAAUAUAUUUAGUUUUUAAUUGGCCAUACCUCGUAUACUCGAACAAUUUUAAAUACUUAUCUGAUUACAGCGUAAUUGAGUAUCAAAAAUAAAAAUAUUUACCCAUGUCGAACACUAGAAAAAAUAAAAUAGAUAAUAGACAAAAAACCGUUUCGAUAACAAAAUUUAUAUAUAAUAAUUGAAAUAUUAUAAAUACUUACUUUGAGGCAUCUAUGAAGUAAAUUAUUAAAGAAGCUAUGCUCAGAAUGAAUACUAAGACAACCUGAAAAGAAAGUAAAAUAUUUUUGAUUCACUAAAUACAUAUAAAUAUAUACGAGGUCCGGUUAUUAAAUAACGAGAUUGCGCCCUAGACACGGGUGGGGUAAAAAACGGGUUGAAUUGAAACUGAGUACUAUAAAUCGUUGCAAGAGGUCUACGGGGACAAUUAUUUAUAUCGAGCGCGUGUUUUUGAGUGGUGUAAGCGCUCUAGUGUGAACCGAGAGAGCAAAUCAAAAUUCAAGGCACUGUUGAGCGUUUUAACGAUACCGUGAUUACUGAAUGGGUUCCAGAGGGUCAGACUAUUUGCCAAUAUCGCGUUGUCUAAAAAGCAGUAUUUGGUCAGAAGCGCAUUCCAAUCCAUUCGAAAGGCACCAGAUUUGAGUCGAUGGUAGCGGUAAAGCAAAAAAUUGCAGAGCUCCUGAAGAUCCUCACCAUCACUGCUUAGAUCGAUGGAAAAAACUAAUGUGCGGCGAGGGUAGGGGAGUAUAUCGAAGGGGAUCAUUCGAUUGUAAAAUAAUUUUUAUAAUAAAACCCUUUUUCGUAAACAAAUUCGUUAUUUAAUAACCGGACCUCGUAUAAUCCAUCAGUGUCGUAUAUACCUUUUUAACAUAACCCCGUACUCGACGAAAAUGAAAAAAAAAAUGAUUUAUUGUAUAAAAUAUUUAGAAGUUUAUUGAGUGUUGGAAAAAAAAAAUAGAGUAGCUUUGAAAUUAUAUCUUUAGACUAAACCCGGUCAUCCCGAAUCAACAACUGUCUCUUUAAAUUUUUUGGAUUAAAGCCAAGAAGUCACGUCGGUUCGUAGUAAUGACAUUAUAUAUUUCAGAGACAAGGAUAAUGGAUCGAAGCACAACAUCAACACACGACAAAAUUAUUCUAAACGCAUGCCUUCCUAAAAUAAAAUUAAAGAAAAAAAAUUUUGUUGUUCGCAAAAAAAUUAUAUAAAUAAAUUAUUUUAAAACGUUUUGUAAGUACGGAAAAAUGAUAUUUUUGAGUCGGGGAAUAAUUAUUAGUAGGUAUAAGUUGAAAAUGUAAAUAUAAUAAAGAAUUGAUCAAACAUUAGUUUUGUAAUUAUCGAUAAUUUCAUAUUAACAAUGUAAACAUAUUAUCUAAUUAAUUUACCGGGGGUAUAUUCUAUUUAUUUUUCAUUAAUGGGUACCCGGUAGGUAGAUACAGUCCUGUAAAUUGCAGCGAUUCUAUAUUUCAAGUGUAGUGACCUUUUGACAUGAUGACCCGAAAUGCAAUUUUAUAUAGGUACAUAACGA
Molecule: long non-coding RNA, 4149 nt
Organism: Diorhabda sublineata
Lineage: Eukaryota; Metazoa; Arthropoda; Insecta; Coleoptera; Chrysomelidae
Exons: 4
Source: RefSeq, a predicted model, not a curated record